UUUGGCAAGUUAGAGAACUGAGGCACAGAGGUUUACCAGUUUGCCUAAGGUCACAUAUUAGUAAGGUUUGUACUCUAGCUCUGGACACUAUGCUUCUAACUGAGAGACGAAAUCUGCAAAUAGACAAUGAGACCAUAUAUAAAAAUAGAACUCUGACCCACAACUUGUAGCAAGCUGUCCAGGAAGCCAACCUAUUAUCUACAAUAACCAGACUAGGAAGCUAGCUUGCUAUAAAGGAGAUCUAUAGGAAGUCACAGUACUAUCUUGAGUAGCAAUCCAGGAAGCCAAAUAAUAACCCCUGCAACAAUCGACCCCAAAAGGCUAUGAUUUGACAGCUUUCCAAAUAUUUAUUCCAACUGCAAGCUGAGAACCAUCCAGAGAAAGCCAAGCAUGUAUAUAACCAAUCACAUAGAAUGCCCUGUUUGUAGUUAGUAGACUCACAGCAUCCCCAAUUGCAACAACCUCCAAUCAAGGCAUACAUGAAGCCUUCCUAUUUUAUCACCAUAAAACUUUGCCGUCUCUCUGCCUGCCUUUGAGUCUCUGCCAAAACAUAAGUGAUGGUGGCUGACUCCCUUGCUAUAGCAAACUCUGAAUUAACAACUUUGGCUUUUCUCAUUUGUUUAGUUUUUAUUUAUUUCCACAUAGCCAGAACAAUAUCCGUUAUAGCUAAUGUAAUUGAAUUUGUGCAUAUCUAACAUAGAUUCUAAGACUGUAGCUAAAACUGCUGAAAGGCCAAUAAUCAACUCAUUUCAUCACUUCAUUUUCGUAAUAUGGCCCCACUUGUAUUUAGUAUUUAGAGGAUUUCAUAUAUCUAUAGAAAGUCCAAGUUAAUGAUAAUCACAAUAAUAGUAACAAAGUAUAAGUCAAUGGUAAGAACAAUAGUAAUAAUAAAAGUAAAUGUGUUAUUAAGUACUUAUAACCACCACAUACAUUAUUAAAAACAGUAUUUAGAUUAGUUUGUUGCAUGCUCAAAUUAAUCAUAUGAGCUGAUUACUGGCAUAUUUCCAUUUUACAAGGAAACAGAGACUUAGAAGUUAAGAAACUCGCCAAAUAUCCACGUUGUUUACAUAUUAUACAAACAUCAUUUAAUUUUGCCGGCUUACCUCCAAACUUUAAUUGCAUUUAUAUUUAGUUCAAUACCUGGCACACAGAAUUCAACUUAAUAGAGAAAAGAAUAGAUUACUUAGAUAAUAACCAAGAUUCAGUAAAACCUACACUAACCCUAAAGACCUAUUCACCAAAUUUUUUGGAACUUCCUUAGGUUUUCCUCAGCAGCUUUUUUUCUACGUGAAAAAAUACAUAUGUGUAAAAUAACUACAUUUCCCAUUUAGAUAAGAGUGUCUUAAGAGCAUACUAUCAUUUUUGCUUUUUCUCAAGGUUUUAAGUGUGUGCAUGCUGUGAACACUCAGACAAUGCUGGAGAGAAGCAGACACUGUGCUACCCACUUACCUAUGUGCCUGGUGAAUCUACUGUCAACUGUUGAAAGCAGUAACUGGCCCCUAACAUCACCACAUCCAAAGGCCAUGAAAGAGCGAAAUCUGUCUAGUAGACCGUUGAACUCCCAGGCCUCUAUUCUGAAGUCUCAUGGGAGCCGUUCUGUUUAAGUUCACUGCACCUGAUCCCAAGGAGCUCAAUGGAUCUCACAGUUCCCAGUUCUGCUGAAUAUUGUCACUGGUUACCUGUGGGGAGCUGCAUGGUGUGAUAUGAGGGGGGAAUCAAGACUACAGUGAAAGAACUUGAGUGAGGCAUAUGGCUGCACAGCUAUAAAGACAAUUUCCAGUCUCCCCUGCAUCAAAUGUGCCUGUGUCCUUGCCAAUGGAUUACAAGUCGAGAACAGCACUGGAAGCUGGUGAUGAAGAGGAGCCCUUCUCCCUUUUGAUGUGAAACAGAUACAAUGUCAAAAAAAAAAAGACACCACACAAACAGACAAACAAACAAAAACCCAAAAAACCAAGAUUACUCCUUAUAGAAACUGACCUGUCCACUGCAUUUCUUUCCCUGGCAUUAAUAGUUCACCAGUAUUAUUCGAGGCUAUAUUUCAGUGGUUAUUGUAGUUAUUGUUUUCUCCCUUAUCUCCCUGAAUUUAGUAAAAUCUUUGCUCUACAUGGUACUGAUAUGAUAAAUCACAUUAUACUCAAGCUCUCUGGAAAUGAAACGGCUUGCCUUUAAGAUAUCAAAUUCUACAGCAAAGCCCUUCCCCCAUCUACCACUAACCUUUUGGCUUUCCUCAGUCUUUGACUAGUUGGAAAUAAUAUUUCUCUGGUGCUGACACUGCAGAGGAUACAGAAAUUCAAACUGCAUGAAGGUUGAUAAAAAUGAAUUUUAUCAGGAAAGUGAGAAAGUGUUCAUAUAAAUGAACUUUAGAUAGCUAUGGAGAGAUAAUCUGGGUAUUUAGCUGAGAGAUGAAUACUUAGAUUACUAUACUAGAGCAGAAGAAAAUUCAUUUUUUCUUCUUGGAUUUUGUAUUAUAUGUAGAAUUUCAAAACUCUUGACCUCCAAAGAACUUCCAAAUGCAUCUUAAUACCUCAUGAUUUUAUUUGGCUUAUUUUCUACUUCCAAGAACAUUUGUACUCUUUAGGAAGAUAAAAAACUGAGUUACAAGGCAUGUACAAGGUCAUAUUUUGAGCCACUAGUGGAACUUGGACUGAAUUUUUGAACACUUUCUCAAACCAGUUGAACUCAAUUUUCACUGCAUUGUACAUGCCAAAAUUUUUUCAAUACUAUAUAGGAAAAAUUAUUUUUCUUAUCUUGUUUUUCGUUGGUGUGUUUCCCCCCACCCCUACACAGUCUAACCUUUGGCAUCCCAUUUCUUGCCCUUAGGUUGUAUGUGUGUACUACACAGCUUAUCACAUUUAAGGUACAUGCACAUGGUGAGUUCAAAUCACUGAAGCUUACUGAGCAUGUCAGUGUGAAAUGUUGCAAAAGAGGAAAGACACUAAGAGAUUAUUCCUGAUGCUGGUGAGCCCAGAUGUGUCCUCUAGAUGUCCUACAGAUGUUACCUAAUAACUUUAAGAGGCUACUUGUGGUGAUAACUGUGAUAAAUUAAAUGUGAUCAAUUAAUAUUUUGAUUAAUUCAAUUCUAUUUAAAUGAAAUGAAAACUCAUUUUAUAGCCAAUCAUCCUGGUACAGAUCGGAUGGUAUUAAGGCAUUAAUUUUCUUUUUUUGAGCAGUUAGCAACACACCUUCCAUUUCCUUGCUAUCAUACUUUUCCAGCAUUUGGCUACUCUUAACAAAAAGCAUAAAAGGCUUCUCUAUUCUUUUCCCAAAUUAAACCUUCCUUCUUCAUACAUCAAAGAAAAGAGAGUUCAAAUUCUUUUCCAGCUCUUUUUUAUUAAUGCUUGAGCAAAGAUAUAUGUUUUCACAAGCACCAGUUAAACCAGAAAGAGAAGAAUUUCUCAGUGAUUCAGUGGAUCCAUCAAUCAAUGCUGUAAACUUUUUCAAAUUUAUGGUAUGUUAAAAUAAUUACAAUUAUAAUUAUUAUUAAAGAAGGCUCUCUGAGACCAAAUUUUUGCUUUAUUCAUUAUCUAUCCUUGUCUCUCCCACAACCAUUCACCCACUAUUUAGAAGACCUACUUCUAUGCUCCUCUGCUCUAUUUGUAACUAAUAAUAAUUAAUUAUAAAAUAUUUUGCUACUGAUGAGCUAAAUCAAACUCAUCACUUCCUCUUUCCUGAAUCUAGCCUGCUUGUAUUUAAAUUACUCUCUUGCUGCCUUUCAAAUCACUUGAGGCUGGAAAACUUUUCAAUGUUCUAUAUUCAUUUAUAAUAUAUAUGUGUACAAAUGACUAAUACAUGUAAUACAUAUGUAUGAUACAUAUGUAAUACAGAUAUAAUACAUGCAAUAUAUAUAGGUAUGCUUCUAUCUCUCCCCUCCCCCUCCUUACUCUUUGUUCUGGUAUUAUACUAAUUUUAUGAAAUUCUUU
This is a long non-coding RNA of Felis catus (domestic cat), 3920 nucleotides long. RefSeq lists it as uncharacterized. The record is from RefSeq and is a predicted model, not a curated record. NCBI's taxonomy places the organism in Eukaryota, Metazoa, Chordata, Mammalia, Carnivora, Felidae. The transcript is spliced from 6 exons.